AGGAGCUGUCCCUAGUACGAGAGGACCGGGAUGGACAAACCGCUGGUGUAUCAGUUGUUCCGCCAGGAGCAUAGCUGAGUAGCUAAGUUUGGAAGUGAUAAGCGCUGAAGGCAUCUAAGCGCGAAGCAUCCCUUAAGAUAAGAUUUCCCAUCCUUUAUGGAGUAAGACCCCAGGAAGACCACCUGGUUGAUAGGUCGCAGGUGUAAGCGCAGUAAUGUGUUCAGCUGAGCGAUACUAAUAGGUCGAGGUCUUGACCAG
Molecule: ribosomal RNA, 258 nt
Organism: Dethiosulfatibacter aminovorans DSM 17477
Lineage: Bacteria; Bacillati; Bacillota; Tissierellia
Rfam family: Bacterial large subunit ribosomal RNA
Source: Rfam